Molecule: long non-coding RNA, 983 nt
Filed under: Equus caballus (horse)
Lineage: Eukaryota; Metazoa; Chordata; Mammalia; Perissodactyla; Equidae
Description: lncRNA (ENSECAG00000047793.1)
Source: RNAcentral
CUCACCGUUGCCAUGGUUUUCUCCUCUGUGCCUGGGAUCAGGCUGGCAGCUUCCCUGCUCUCGUGGUAACUGUGCUCCUUCGAAGCCUCAUCUGGCUUCCAGGCAGUCUGGUAGCUGUGUUAAAAUUCCAGUGCUCUCUGCAGGAUGAGGAAGGGUUGCAGAGCAGCAAGGACAAGAGCAAAGAGAGGAGGACACUUUGCUACUUAUAGUCUGUAGGGAGACUGUCUGAAAGGAGGAGAUGGCCUGGCUCUCUUUGUCUCUCUACCUUCCCUCUCAUCAGCCCUCGGCGUCAGCUGCAAGACCAGAGUGGUCGGCUUGCUCAGCAUCUGCACAGGCUCAGAGGGCCUUGCACAGCUUGGAGCUUUUCCAUGCUCCCCGACACAGGGUAAGGUUCGAAGCCAACUCUGACUUGACUGGGCUUUAUAAAUCCAAAUCAGAGCUGGCCCUGAAGGACUUGACAAGGUUGUACCGGCUAAAAGACAACUGCUUUAUCUUCAAAAAGAAAAAGCGCGAUGGAUCACUAGACGAUCCUUUCACUUUAAUACAGUGCAAGCAAGUUAUGGAAGCAAAGAAGGAUGCAGAAACCAUCGGCGUGAUCCAAUUCGAAGAAAGUUAAUGACAAAUCCAGCCAGAGUGAACAGAUGGAGUGACAAGUGACAGCCCAUCUUAUAUAUAUGAAUGUUUGUGCUUCCCCAUCUGCGUGAGAUGUGUCCAUUGACUUGCUUUGACCAAUGGGGGAAGACACGUGUGUCUUCUUUGUGUAAAAGAACUGCUUUGUUCUCCACCACUUUCUUGCCCUUGCUACAGCAAUGGGAGACUCCCAAUGAUGGAGCCUUCAUCAGCCUGAGUCUCUGAGUGAGGAUUUUGUAGAGAAGAGCCCCUCACAAAUCUAAAGAUGGACGUGUCACAUAAGUGAGAAAUAAACCAUGGAUUUAAGUCAUGGAAAUGUGUUGUUGUUAUUGGAGCAAAGCUUAGCCUACCCG